RNAcentral lists this small RNA (1758 nucleotides) under Rattus norvegicus (Norway rat). RNAcentral describes it as "uncharacterized LOC102556108". The record is from RNAcentral. Lineage: Eukaryota; Metazoa; Chordata; Mammalia; Rodentia; Muridae.
CACUAGAAACAAAAGAGUGAGGCCAGUCCAUGGGCUUCCUGUGUGCACACAGCUUCCUCACAACAGCUCCUGUGUGUUGAAAUGACUUCUUUGUCUACACAUCUAUCCGCCCAACCUCCAGGUGGCUGGAGAACCUUGUCUUUGCCUGAUAGGUCCUAGAGCUCCAAAGAUGCUGUCAGAGGCAGUAGCUCUCAAACACAGCCUUGGCUUAAUCAUAUAACCUGCUACACACCACUGCUCAGAAGCACCUGCUAGCAUUCGAGUACCAAGCAAGUGGCCCUUGGUGAAUUCCCAUCCUACACUCCAACUCCCUUUGGAAAGAAAAUGAAGCUAGCACCCAAGGUUCCCUCCCCCCACCCUGUGCAGAGAACCCUGCACAGGAUGGCAAGGCUUUCAUCCCCUCCAGUUUCUCCCAAAAUUUUUAUUUCCUUUUGCAGAUUAACAUAAUUAAUGAUUUGGGUUCAUCCUGUUGAUCUGCAUUUUAAUGAGGUUCUGUGGGCUUUUUUUUUUUUUUUUGACCUGGUAUUUCCUGACCCAAGUACCUUAUUUCAUCCUCAUUUGGAAAUAUGCUACUUCCUCCUCGUUGUUUUGAAGCCUACCUAAUUGGCUUCACGUGGAGAGUCUGGUCCCCAUCCCCACACAUGCAGAGCACCAGCUAAUGUUCAUCAUUGAUCAUCGUGGACUGUCAGCGAGACUCUCAGGUGAGAACAGAGACCUGGCUUCCAGCAAGCCCCUCAUGGGCCCCUGAAAGGCUCUUUCUCCUCAAGCCCUCCAUAAGCAAUCUACGUGUGAGUGAAACCAUUGUCACUCCAUGGUUGACUUUUCCACUUGCCUGCUUUCUCUUUACACUCAUGACAGUUCUCUCUUUCUCUGUGCCCAGUCUCCUUUGGCAUCAGGCUUGGACUAUGGGAGAAACAAUUAUGUGAGUGGCUGUUCACCCUGGAGAUGAAGGAAUUAUGGAGUUAACCCUGCUGAUAUUUGGAAAUUCUAAAAAAAAAAAAAGGAUUUUAAUAUGUCCCUUAAAAUAUUAGUCCUUCGUGCUCACUUCCGCAGCACAUAUACUUAAAAAAAAAAUUAGUCCUUAACCUGUAAUUCCAGCUAUUUGAGACACUGAGCAAGAACAUUACCAGUUCAAGUACAGCCUAGGCAACUUAGUAAGAUGUUGUCUAAUGAAAUAAAAAUGAGUUGGGGGAUGGACAUUCCUGGUACUCAAGGUUCUAGAUUCAAUCCCCCAGACAGAAGAAUCAAUCAUAUCUUUAAGAUAUUAAUUUCAUAAAUAUUUUUCUUAUAUUUGCUAAAGCCUUUUCUUCUUGGUGGAGUAGCUUUCAGAUUGACUUUCAAACCAAGUUGUCCUCUCUGCGUCUGUCUUUCUUUCUACAGCCCUCCUCCCUGCUCCCUGUCUGAAAGGUCUACAUAUUCCAUGAAUCCUUGUGGGAGCCUGACUCUUAUAAGGUGUCAAGUUGGGGGCUGUGGUCAGAAUCACACAAUGCAAAACUGUCUAACUAAAGGACAGGAAGAAGAGUUUAGGUGUUUCAGAAGAUUGAAGGAUUGGAGACAACAUUUUGUUUAAGAUGCUGAUUUUGACACUCACUGUUGCCGGGUCCAGCUUGAAGCAGGGAAUUUUUUUUUGUUGUUGUUGAUAGAAGGGAAUAUGGGGGAUUCUUGCUGGGUUUGGAGAGAGUACUUGAUUGCUGAUUAAAAUCUGCAUCGCUAAUGCAAACCUGAACCUUUCAGGAAGCAGGCUGUGAGAAGUCCUAA